UCUGUUUGAUCCUGCCAGUAGAGAUAUGAUUGUCUUAAAGAUUAAGCCAUGCAUGUCUAAGUACACACGAAUUAACAGUGAAACCGCAAAAGGCUCAUUAUAUCAGUUAUGGUUCCCUUGAUCGUUAACAGUAACGUGGCUAACUGUGGCUAACUGUGUUUUGGGACGUGUGCUUUUAUUAGGCUAAAACCAAGCGAUCUUUGAUCGUUUAUAUGGUUGAACUCUAGAAAACUUGCAGAUCGUAUGGUCUCGUACCGACGACAGAUCUUUCAAAUGUCUGCCCUAUCAAUUUUUGAUGGUAGCAUCUAGGACUACCAUGGUUCCAACGGGGAAUCAGGGUUCGAUUGCGGAGGGGGAGCCUGAGAAACGGCUACCACAUCUAAGGAAGGCAGCAGGCGCGUAAAUUGCCCACUCCCAGCUCGGGGAGGUAGUGACGAAAAAUAACAAUACAGGACUCAUAUUAGACGCCCUGUAAUUGGAAUGAGUACACUUUAAAUCCCUUAACAAGGACCUAUUGGAGGGCAAGUCUGGUGCCAGCAGCCGAGGUAACUCCAGUCCCAAUAGCGUAUAUGAAAGUAGUUGCGGUUAAAACGUUCGUAGUUGAACUCGUGCUUCAUACGGGUAGUACAACUAUAAUUGUAGUUCGUACUAUACCUUAUGUAUGUAAGCUUAUUACCGGUGAAGUUCUUACAUGCAUAAGUACUUGUAUUUAUAUAUGUUCCUCCUAUUUAAACCUGCUUCAGUGUUUUUCAUCGAGUGAUGUUUUGGGCCUAUACAAUUACUUUGAACAAAUUAAAGUGCUUAAAGCAGACUCCAAAUGCCUUAAUAUUUUGUGCAUGGAAUAAUGAAAUAAGACCUCUGUUCUACUUUCAUUGGUUUUUGGAUCUAGAGGUAAUGAUUAAUAAAAGCAUUUUGGGGGCAUUAGUAUUACGACGCGAGAGGUGAAAUUCUUGGACCAUCGUGAGUCUAACUUAAGCGAAAGCAUUUGCCAAAGAUGUUUUCAUUAAUCAAGAACCAAAGUUAAAGGUCCGAAGGUGGUUAAAGGCGAAGGUCAGAUACCGCCCUAGUUCUAACCAUAAACAAUACCAGCUAGCAAUUGGAUGUAGCUACUAUAAUAGCUCUCUCAGUCGCUUCCUGGGAAACUAAAGCUUUUGGGCUUCGGGGAAGUAUGGUUGCAAAGCUGAAACUUAAAGGAUUGACGGAAGGACACCACCAGGAGUGGAGCCUGCGGCCGUUCUUAGUUCGUGGAGUGAUUUGUCUGGUUAAUUCCGAAAACGAACGAGACUCAAAUAUAUUAAAUAGAUACUUUCAGGAUCAUGGUGUAGAAGCUUUUAUAGCCUUCAUCUGCGACCGCAGUAAAAUGCGUUAGUGGUUGAAUGUGUUUAUAGAAGUGGAGCCGUACCUGUUGGUUUGUCCCGUUAUAAGGACACUAGCUUCUUAAAUGGACAAAUUGCGUCUAGCAAUAAUGAGAUUGAGCAAUAACAGGUCUGUGAUGCCCUUGAAUGUUCUGGAGUGCACGCGUGCUACAAUGAAAGUAUCAACGUGUCUUUCCUAGACCGAGAGGUCCGGGUAAACCGCUGAACCACUUCCAUGCUCGGGAUUGUGACUUUUAAAUUUUUACAUGAUCUGUUUCUUAGAUGAGUGCAAAACGGUAAGAAAGGACCUAAUAUUUGACAAAUUAUUUUUAAAAUUG
This 1693-nucleotide ribosomal RNA is filed under the name Musca domestica (house fly). RNAcentral's name for it is "SSU rRNA". It matches the Rfam family "Eukaryotic small subunit ribosomal RNA", at positions 1 to 1647 of the family's 1831-position model. The record is from RNAcentral. Lineage: Eukaryota; Metazoa; Arthropoda; Insecta; Diptera; Muscidae.